This 407-nucleotide ribosomal RNA is filed under the name Eurycope producta complex sp. 4 AD-2018. Its description in RNAcentral is "partial 16S ribosomal RNA". It matches the Rfam family "Archaeal large subunit ribosomal RNA", at positions 2030 to 2660 of the family's 2987-position model. Lineage: Eukaryota; Metazoa; Arthropoda; Malacostraca; Isopoda; Munnopsidae. The record is from RNAcentral.
AAGGUAGCAUAAUAAUUUGUCUUAUAAUAGAAGGCUGGUAUGAAAGAGUUGACGUUACUGAGGCUUUUUUUAAAAAAUAAUUGAAUUUAAUAUCUACAUAAAAAAGUGUAGCUUUCCAAAGGGACGAUAAGACCCUAUAAAGCUUAAAUCGAAAAUCUUGGUUAUUAUAAAGUUUUUUAAAGCUGGGUAAUUGAUUUAGCUGGGGCGGUAAUUAUUAUUCUAUAAUAAAUUUAACACUAUUUGUGGGAGUAAAGAUCUUUUAAAGAUUUAGAAUAAGCUACUUUAGGGAUAACAGCAUAAUUUUUUAGAAUAGAUCGAAUAGAUUAAUAAGACUUAUGACCUCGAUGUUGAAUUGAGGGGCUUUUCUUUAGCAGAAGAAAGAAAGGAGGGGUCUGUUCGACCUUUAA